AUUGAACGCUGGCGGCAGGCCUAACACAUGCAAGUCGAGCGGAUGAAGGGAGCUUGCUCCUGGAUUCAGCGGCGGACGGGUGAGUAAUGCCUAGGAAUCUGCCUGGUAGUGGGGGAUAACGUCCGGAAACGGGCGCUAAUACCGCAUACGUCCUGAGGGAGAAAGUGGGGGAUCUUCGGACCUCACGCUAUUAGAUGAGCCUAGGUCGGAUUAGCUAGUUGGUGGGGUAAAGGCCUACCAAGGCGGCGAUCCGUAACUGGUCUGAGAGGAUGAUCAGUCACACUGGAACUGAGACACGGUCCAGACUCCUACGGGAGGCAGCAGUGGGGAAUAUUGGACAAUGGGCGAAAGCCUGAUCCAGCCAUGCCGCGUGUGUGAAGAAGGUCUUCGGAUUGUAAAGCACUUUAAGUUGGGAGGAAGGGCAGUAAGUUAAUACCUUGCUGUUUUGACGUUACCAACAGAAUAAGCACCGGCUAACUUCGUG
Molecule: ribosomal RNA, 484 nt
Filed under: uncultured bacterium
Lineage: Bacteria
Description: partial 16S ribosomal RNA
Rfam family: Bacterial small subunit ribosomal RNA
Source: RNAcentral